Molecule: transfer RNA, 72 nt
Filed under: Jannaschia aquimarina
Lineage: Bacteria; Pseudomonadati; Pseudomonadota; Alphaproteobacteria; Rhodobacterales; Roseobacteraceae
Description: Jannaschia sp. GSW-M26 tRNA
Rfam family: tRNA
About the family: Transfer RNA (tRNA) molecules are approximately 80 nucleotides in length. Their secondary structure includes four short double-helical elements and three loops (D, anti-codon, and T loops).
Source: Rfam by way of RNAcentral
GAGGACGUAGCUCAGAUGGAAGAGCACCGGAUCCAAGUCCGGGGGUCGUGGGUUCGAUUCCCGCCGUUUUCA